This 497-nucleotide ribosomal RNA is filed under the name uncultured bacterium. RNAcentral describes it as "partial 16S ribosomal RNA". It matches the Rfam family "Bacterial small subunit ribosomal RNA", at positions 28 to 507 of the family's 1533-position model. The record is from RNAcentral.
GAUGAACGCUGGCGGCGUGCCUAAUACAUGCAAGUCGAGCGAACAGACGAGGAGCUUGCUCCUCUGACGUUAGCGGCGGACGGGUGAGUAACACGUGGAUAACCUACCUAUAAGACUGGGAUAACUUCGGGAAACCGGAGCUAAUACCGGAUAAUAUAUUGAACCGCAUGGUUCAAUAGUGAAAGACGGUUUUGCUGUCACUUAUAGAUGGAUCCGCGCCGCAUUAGCUAGUUGGUAAGGUAACGGCUUACCAAGGCAACGAUGCGUAGCCGACCUGAGAGGGUGAUCGGCCACACUGGAACUGAGACACGGUCCAGACUCCUACGGGAGGCAGCAGUAGGGAAUCUUCCGCAAUGGGCGAAAGCCUGACGGAGCAACGCCGCGUGAGUGAUGAAGGUCUUCGGAUCGUAAAACUCUGUUAUUAGGGAAGAACAAAUGUGUAAGUACCUAUGCACGUAUUGACGGUACCUAAUCAGAAAGCCACGGGUAACAACGUG